RNAcentral lists this ribosomal RNA (496 nucleotides) under uncultured bacterium. Its description in RNAcentral is "partial 16S ribosomal RNA". It matches the Rfam family "Bacterial small subunit ribosomal RNA", at positions 29 to 507 of the family's 1533-position model. The record is from RNAcentral.
AUGAACGCUGGCGGCGUGCCUAAUACAUGCAAGUCGAGCGAACAGACGAGGAGCUUGCUCCUCUGACGUUAGCGGCGGACGGGUGAGUAACACGUGGAUAACCUACCUAUAAUACUGGGAUAACUUCGGGAAACCGGAGCUAAUACCGGAUAAUAUAUUGAACCGCAUGGUUCAAUAGUGAAAGACGGUUUUGCUGUCACUUAUAGAUGGAUCCGCGCCGCAUUAGCUAGUUGGUAAGGUAACGGCUUACCAAGGCGACGAUGCGUAGCCGACCUGAGAGGGUGAUCGGCCACACUGGAACUGAGACACGGUCCAGACUCCUACGGGAGGCAGCAGUAGGGAAUCUUCCGCAAUGGGCGAAAGCCUGACGGAGCAACGCCGCGUGAGUGAUGAAGGUCUUCGGAUCGUAAAACUCUGUUAUUAGGGAAGAACAAAUGUGUAAGUAACUAUGCACGUCUUGACGGUACCUAAUCAGAAAGCCACGGCUAACUACGUG